CCCGUUCCAAAGUUCUAGGGUCCCUAGCCCCUCACCAAAAAGUCAGAGAAAGCACCCUCGGAACACCCUCGGAAAUCAGAGCCAGACCUCCUCCAAAUCCUUCUGGAUCUGCUCCCCCAGAUCCCACACCGGAACAGUGCCAAGAUCGGUUCCCCCAACAUGUAUUAAAAUUACAUCAGGAACACUGAGCAGGCCGGCUAAACUGACCACUUCGGGCAGCAGCUGCUCCCACCGGGUACCGAACCAACGGACUUCUGCCACCACUGGCGACAGGCCCAAUUGUAAUCCCCCGGGGUAAACUUGAGCCCAC
Molecule: non-coding RNA, 310 nt
Organism: Pelobates cultripes (western spadefoot toad)
Lineage: Eukaryota; Metazoa; Chordata; Amphibia; Anura; Pelobatidae
Source: the annotation of a GenBank genome assembly